RNAcentral lists this ribosomal RNA (1372 nucleotides) under uncultured bacterium. RNAcentral's name for it is "bacterial SSU rRNA". It matches the Rfam family "Bacterial small subunit ribosomal RNA", at positions 28 to 1381 of the family's 1533-position model. The record is from RNAcentral.
GAUGAACGCUGGCGGCGUGCCUGAUACAUGCAAGUCGAGCGAACGGACGAGAAGCUUGCUUCUCUGAUGUUAGCGGCGGACGGGUGAGUAACACGUGGAUAACCUACCUAUAAGACUGGGAUAACUUCGGGAAACCGGAGCUAAUACCGGAUAAUAUUUUGAACCGCAUGGUUCAAAAGUGAAAGACGGUCUUGCUGUCACUUAUAGAUGGAUCCGCGCUGCAUUAGCUAGUUGGUAAGGUAACGGCUUACCAAGGCAACGAUGCAUAGCCGACCUGAGAGGGUGACCGGCCACACUGGAACUGAGACACGGUCCAGACUCCUACGGGAGGCAGCAGUAGGGAAUCUUCCGCAAUGGGCGAAAGCCUGACGGAGCAACGCCGCGUGAGUGAUGAAGGUCUUCGGAUCGUAAAACUCUGUUAUUAGGGAAGAACAUAUGUGUAAGUAACUGUGCACAUCUUGACGGUACCUAAUCAGAAAGCCACGGCUAACUACGUGCCAGCAGCCGCGGUAAUACGUAGGUGGCAAGCGUUAUCCGGAAUUAUUGGGCGUAAAGCGCGCGUAGGCGGUUUUUUAAGUCUGAUGUGAAAGCCCACGGCUCAACCGUGGAGGGUCAUUGGAAACUGGAAAACUUGAGUGCAGAAGAGGAAAGUGGAAUUCCAUGUGUAGCGGUGAAAUGCGCAGAGAUAUGGAGGAACACCAGUGGCGAAGGCGACUUUCUGGUCUGUAACUGACGCUGAUGUGCGAAAGCGUGGGGAUCAAACAGGAUUAGAUACCCUGGUAGUCCACGCCGUAAACGAUGAGUGCUAAGUGUUAGGGGGUUUCCGCCCCUUAGUGCUGCAGCUAACGCAUUAAGCACUCCGCCUGGGGAGUACGACCGCAAGGUUGAAACUCAAAGGAAUUGACGGGGACCCGCACAAGCGGUGGAGCAUGUGGUUUAAUUCGAAGCAACGCGAAGAACCUUACCAAAUCUUGACAUCCUUUGACAACUCUAGAGAUAGAGCUUUCCCCUUCGGGGGACAAAGUGACAGGUGGUGCAUGGUUGUCGUCAGCUCGUGUCGUGAGAUGUUGGGUUAAGUCCCGCAACGAGCGCAACCCUUAAGCUUAGUUGCCAUCAUUAAGUUGGGCACUCUAAGUUGACUGCCGGUGACAAACCGGAGGAAGGUGGGGAUGACGUCAAAUCAUCAUGCCCCUUAUGAUUUGGGCUACACACGUGCUACAAUGGACAAUACAAAGGGCAGCGAAACCGCGAGGUCAAGCAAAUCCCAUAAAGUUGUUCUCAGUUCGGAUUGUAGUCUGCAACUCGACUACAUGAAGCUGGAAUCGCUAGUAAUCGUAGAUCAGCAUGCUACGGUGAAUACGUUCCCGGGUCU